Long non-coding RNA from Oncorhynchus mykiss (rainbow trout), 1154 nucleotides. RefSeq lists it as uncharacterized. The record is from RefSeq and is a predicted model, not a curated record. NCBI's taxonomy places the organism in Eukaryota, Metazoa, Chordata, Actinopteri, Salmoniformes, Salmonidae.
UAGGACCUGUAAGUAAGCAUUUCACUGUUGUAUUCGGUGCACGUGACAAAUAAACUUUGAUUUGAUUUAUGUGCAUUUCCAAAUCAUAGCAAAGGGUCUGUAUACUUAUGUAAAUAAGGUAUCUGCUUUUUAUGCUUACUAUCUUUGCAAGCAUUUCUAAAAACCUAUUUUAGUUUUGUCAUUAUGGGGUAGUGUGUGUAAUUUGAGGAUUUUUCCCCCCCAUAAAUUUUAGAAUAAGGCUGUAACGUAACAAAAUGUGGAAAAGGUCAAGGGGUCUGAAUACUUUCCGAAUGCACUGUGUUUAUCUCACAAUUGACUUCAGGUGUGUGUGUUUUAUUGUCUGUUCAAGGUCAGUGGCCUCUGGGCAUCCAGCCAAUUUCAGAGUUCAGGCUAGGUGCUUUGUUCUUUAGCCCCUAACAGAACAAAAUCCCUUGUUUUGCUUGAACUGGCUGUAACCUAUUCCUUGAGACCCAGCAAUGGCAAACAAAAUCUAGGAGGACAACUACACCAGGUGGCACAUCAAAUCACACAUCAAAGUUCUCCACAAAACUUUUAAAAAAAACAUAAUCAAUGAGCUGCCAGAAAACGUGGCGCGAGAUAGCAUUUGCCCCAGUACUUUUCAAUCUGGUCACUUUCAAGCAGCAGCAACAAACCCGUUUUACCAGACAUAUUCAUUAGUUCACAUCAUAGAACAUUUUUUAAAAACGUUUUUCAACUGGGAAGAAUGCAGGCGUUUCUUAUUAGACAAGUUUACACAGUAUCUCCCCCCAAUUUCAGCCUGUUUGCCUCUAUUCGGUCUAGUGAAUACAACCCUGUCUCUGGGAUUUCACACUGUCACAGUGGUCUUCUAGCUACAGCCUACAGAGCCUCAUCAACCACACCUCUCAACAAAUCAAUGUAGUUUCACCAGCACCUCAUUGUUCGACUCUGCAGUAUGCGCGUGGUUUCUUUCUUCGCUCACGCUCCUCUCCUGCCUGGUUGCUUGCCUCAUGAGAGAAUGAACACACAUUUUAAAUGGAAAACAAGGAUAAAGAAGGUGAAAUGAUCGGAUUCUGCUACCCAAGGUUAAGGGAUAGUGAGUGACGUUCCUGAGAAAGGACAAUGACCCAACACACCUCCAGGCUGUGUAAGGGCGAUUUGACCAAGAAGGAGAG